AUUAUUAAAAUAUAAAAAGAUAUUUUUAGAUUAGUAUUAGAUAUAUUUAUGAAAUUAAAAUAAUUUGGCGGUAUUUUAGUCUAUUUAGAGGAAUUUGUUUUAUAAUCGAUAUUCCGCGUUAUAUCUUACUUAUUUUAUUUAAUUUGUAUAUCGUUGUCAUUAGAAUAUUUUAUAAGAAAAAUAAUUUUCUUAAAUUAUAUAAAAUUUUAUGUCAAAUCAAGGUGCAGUUUAUAUUUUAGUAAAAAUGAAUUACAUUAAUAUUUAAUUAAAUGAAUAAAAGAUUGAAAUAUUUUUUUGAAGGUGGAUUUAAUAGUAAAUUUUAAGAGUGUAUAAAAUUGAUUAUAGCUCUAAAAUAUGUAC
This 360-nucleotide ribosomal RNA is filed under the name Lutzomyia nunez-tovari. Its description in RNAcentral is "partial 12S ribosomal RNA". Lineage: Eukaryota; Metazoa; Arthropoda; Insecta; Diptera; Psychodidae. The record is from RNAcentral.